CGGAGGGUGCAAGCGUUAUCCGGAUUUACUGGGUUUAAAGGGUGUGUAGGCGGACUUUUAAGUCAGCGGUGAAAUCUCCGGGCUCAACCCGGAAACUGCCAUUGAUACUAUUGGUCUUGAAUGUUGUUGAGGUGGGCGGAACGGGUCAUGUAGCGGUGAAAUGCAUAGAUAUGACCCGGAACACCGAUUGCGAAGGCAGCCCACUAAGCAACGAUUGACGCUGAGGCACGAAAGCGUGGGGAUCAAACAGGAUUAGAUACCCUGGUAGUCCACGCCCUAAACGAUGAUUACUCGACGUUGGCGAUACACUGAUCAGCGUCCAAGCGAAAGCAUUAAGUAAUCCACCUGGGAAGUACGUUCGCAAGAAUG
RNAcentral lists this ribosomal RNA (369 nucleotides) under uncultured organism. RNAcentral describes it as "bacterial SSU rRNA". It matches the Rfam family "Bacterial small subunit ribosomal RNA", at positions 526 to 896 of the family's 1533-position model. The record is from RNAcentral.